Molecule: ribosomal RNA, 432 nt
Filed under: uncultured bacterium
Lineage: Bacteria
Description: bacterial SSU rRNA
Rfam family: Bacterial small subunit ribosomal RNA
Source: RNAcentral
AGCGAACGUUAGCGGCGGGCCUAACACAUGCAAGUCGAACGCGAAAGGUCUUCGGACUGAGUAGAGUGGCGCACGGGUGAGUAACACGUAGGUAAUCUACCCUUUGGCGGGGGAUAACGUUCCGAAAGGAGCGCUAAUACCGCAUAAGACCACGGAGUCUCCGGACGCUGUGGGAAAAGGUGGCCUCUUCUUGAAAGCUACCACCGAAGGAUGAGCCUGCGUCCCAUCAGCUAGUUGGUAAGGUAAUGGCUUACCAAGGCGAAGACGGGUAGCUGGUUUGAGAGAAUGAUCAGCCACACUGGCACUGGAACACGGGCCAGACUCCUACGGGAGGCAGCAGUGAGGAAUAUUGGGCAAUGGGCGAAAGCCUGACCCAGCCACGCCGCGUGAGUGAUGAAGGCCUUCGGGUCGUAAGACUCUGUGGGGGAGGAA